UCAUUUGUCUCCCCUUUCUGCCUGGGAGUACCAGCAGACCAGUCAUGUUUUAAGUGUGGUCUGUGUACUGGUGCCAGACGGUGAACUUUGCCACCAGUUUUUGAUGGGAUAAAUACAAACAGGCAGGGCUUGUGGCAGCAGAGAUGCUCAGUAAGUGUUUGUGGGCAGGGUUUGUGGCAGCAGAGAUGCUCAGUAAGUAUCUGGUAAGUGAAAGAAUGCUGGAGCUGGAAGGGGUCCUUGGGAUCUGCUAUCCUAACUUCUUUAUUUUACUGAGGAGGAGAGAGGAUAUGCCUAAAGGUGAAAGGAUUUGUUGGUGGCAGAGCCAGAACAUCUGAUCCUUCACCCAGUGCUCAUUCCCCUUCUCUGUAUUGCUGGCAGGAAUCAGAGUGUGGAGCUUCAACAGAGGACAGACAGCCUGAGGCAGAGCUGAUUCCCUCCGCAUCAGGCAGUGCCGCCAGAUGGACAGACGGUGAAGUGUAACAAGAAGCGAACUCGAAGUUUUGGGUCCUGACAACAAGCCAAGAGGCUGUUAAAGGAGAUGGCACCACUGGAAAGGAUCUUUGCCUCAGGCAGGGAUGGUGGGGAAUUUAAGAACUCAUUU
This 601-nucleotide non-coding RNA is filed under the name Pongo abelii (Sumatran orangutan). Lineage: Eukaryota; Metazoa; Chordata; Mammalia; Primates; Hominidae. The record is from RNAcentral.